GGCGGGCGAUGAUACUAGUGUUGGAGGGUUUCCGCCCUUCAGUGCUGCAGCUAACGCAUUAAGUAAUCCGCCUGGGGAGUACGACCGCAAGGUUGAAACUCAAAAGAAUUGACGGGGGCCCGCACAAGCGGUGGAGCAUGUGGUUUAAUUCGAAGCUACGCGAAGAACCUUACCAGGUCUUGACAUCUUCUGCCAACCUAAGAGAUUAGGCGUUCCCUUCGGGGACAGAAUGACAGGUGGUGCAUGGUUGUCGUCAGCUCGUGUCGUGAGAUGUUGGGUUAAGUCCCGCAACGAGCGCAACCCUUAUUACUAGUUGCCAGCAUUCAGUUGGGCACUCUAGUGAGACUGCCGGUGACAAACCGGAGGAAGGUGGGGACGACGUCAAAUCAUCAUGCCCCUUAUGACCUGGGCUACACACGUGCUACAAUGGAUGGUACAACGAGUCGCGAAACCGCGAGGUUUAGCUAAUCUCUUAAAACCAUUCUCAGUUCGGACUGUAGGCUGCAACUCGCCUACACGAAGUCGGAAUCGCUAGUAAUCGCGGAUCAGCAUGCCGCGGUGAAUACGUUCCCGGGCCUUGUACACACCGCCCGUCACACCAUGAGAGUUUGUAACACCCAAAGCCGGUGGGGUAACCUUUUAGGAGCUAGCCGUCUAAGGUGGGACAGAUGAUUAGGGUGAAGUCGUACCAGGGGAAACAAAAUUAGUCGUAAAAGAGGGGGGGGAGCCCCCAG
Molecule: ribosomal RNA, 734 nt
Filed under: Pediococcus acidilactici
Lineage: Bacteria; Bacillati; Bacillota; Bacilli; Lactobacillales; Lactobacillaceae
Description: bacterial SSU rRNA
Rfam family: Bacterial small subunit ribosomal RNA
Source: RNAcentral